Molecule: ribosomal RNA, 432 nt
Filed under: Triticum aestivum (bread wheat)
Lineage: Eukaryota; Viridiplantae; Streptophyta; Magnoliopsida; Poales; Poaceae
Description: partial small subunit ribosomal RNA
Source: RNAcentral
GGGAGACCGACGCGAAGAGGAAAAGAGAAAAAAAUCUCAAUUGAUCGCCUCCGCCGCUACACAUCCACGCCGUCGAGAAGCACUUCGGCACCGCCGCGGCCGGUAGCGAAGACUUCGGCGGCCUCUUCUCCGCCGACACCGACGACCAGAUCGCCCUCGAAUUCCCAACCUGUCCGCCCUAGAACCGGCGCCGCCGCGGCCGGCAGCGACGACUUCGGCGGCCUCUUCUCCGCCGACACCGCCGACCAGCUCGCCCUCGAGUUCCCCACCUGCAACCACUUCGAUGGGUUCCAGAAGGCGACCAUGGAGAUGGUGAGCAACAAGAAGGGGACGAACACGCUCUCCUUCAUCUUCGACAAGGCGUCAUCGUCGCCGCCGAGUCCCGGGCCAGCAUGGGCGGGUACACAUGGUUCGGUCUUGGUACUAUGUUGA